GACGAACGCUGGCGGCGUGCCUAAUACAUGCAAGUCGAGCGAACAGAGAAGGAGCUUGCUCCUUUGACGUUAGCGGCGGACGGGUGAGUAACACAUGGGCAACCUACCUUAUAGUUUGGGAUAACUCCGGGAAACCGGGGCUAAUACCGAAUAAUCUGUUCCACCUCAUGGUGGAACACUGAAAGACGGUUUCGGCUGUCGCUAUAAGAUGGGCCCGCGGCGCAUUAGCUAGUUGGUGAGGUAACGGCUCACCAAGGCGACGAUGCGUAGCCGACCUGAGAGGGUGAUCGGCCACACUGGGACUGAGACGCGGCCCAGACUCCUACGGGAGGCAGCAGUAGGGAAUCUUCCACAAUGGGCGAAAGCCUGAUGGAGCAACGCCGCGUGAGUGAAGAAGGUUUUCGGAUCGUAAAACUCUGUUGUAAGGGAAGAACAAGUACAGUAGUAACUGGCUGUACCUUGACGGUACCUUAUUAGAAAGCCACGGCUAACUACGUGCCAGCAGCCGCGGUAAUACGUAGGUGGCAAGCGUUGUCCGGAAUUAUUGGGCGUAAAGCGCGCGCAGGCGGUCCUUUAAGUCUGAUGUGAAAGCCCACGGCUCAACCGUGGAGGGUCAUUGGAAACUGGGGGACUUGAGUGCAGAAGAGGAAAGUGGAAUUCCAAGUGUAGCGGUGAAAUGCGUAGAGAUUUGGAGGAACACCAGUGGCGAAGGCGACUUUCUGGUCUGUAA
Molecule: ribosomal RNA, 730 nt
Filed under: Lysinibacillus sphaericus
Lineage: Bacteria; Bacillati; Bacillota; Bacilli; Caryophanales; Bacillaceae
Description: bacterial SSU rRNA
Rfam family: Bacterial small subunit ribosomal RNA
Source: RNAcentral